This is a non-coding RNA of Pelobates cultripes (western spadefoot toad), 220 nucleotides long. The record is from the annotation of a GenBank genome assembly. Lineage: Eukaryota; Metazoa; Chordata; Amphibia; Anura; Pelobatidae.
GAUAAAUGGGGCAGCUACCCCUGGCCCAGUUACUCCCGGGUGGCCGAAAGCAGCUGCCCCAUGGGCCUGCAGCAAUUUAGAGGGGCUUAUCGGGUGUCCAAUGCAUUUAGGACCACACGGUUGGUAUCGCUGAACAGGAGCUCAGUCGGGCCCCACUGCCCUUUAAAAGUGUGACUAGGCCCCUGUAAUACCGUCCGACAGGGAGCAAGUGACAACCGAU